Molecule: long non-coding RNA, 494 nt
Organism: Juglans regia (Persian walnut)
Lineage: Eukaryota; Viridiplantae; Streptophyta; Magnoliopsida; Fagales; Juglandaceae
Exons: 4
Source: RefSeq, a predicted model, not a curated record
AAAAUAAAAAUAAAAAUAAAAAAGGGGUUAAACCCUAAAAACUGAAGCGCCCUGGGUUAGGGGUUUCAUGUCAAUGGGUCUCAGAGGAAUAACUUACUGACCAUUCUCAACAUGGGUGCGAAAGGCGCAGUGAAGAGUUUGGAACCUGAGCUGAAUGAUGAACAAGAGGAAGAAGAAACCGGUAGGAGCACGACUUCUAAAUCUAGGACUCAAGCGAGAGCGCAGAUGAAGCAACUAGAUAGACUUAAGGAAAAGCUGGUUGCUGCUUGGAACCUGGAAGCUGGUUGCUUGUUGUAUGCGAGAGGAGUUUUAUUGUUUGCUGGAAGCUGAUUGAUGGUUGGAACUGCUGGUUGGUUGUUGCUUGUAUGCUGGUAGCUUGGAAUGACAUUGAUAAAAAAGGACAGCUUUCUGAAAUUGAUUACAUAUACAUUAAUGUAAUGUAAUGGAAUGGAAUGACGUUGAUUUUGAUACAUGAAAUUUGUAUUGUAGACAAC